GGGGACGCUGGGUAUCGACAAAGGAGGAGAUUGGGCGAUUGCAGGCCGAGUUCGUCUCUCACUCGUAAAAAAGGGGACAAGCCAGUAACUGGCAACACCGAAUACGCUCUCGCCGCAUAAGCGGCGACGUUCCCCAGGGCCUCUCUUCAGUGGGUCUUGACGGAGCGACGAUAAGCUGAGGUGCUACGCGACCUGACACCGGCUCGGGUCGUGGGUAAGCUAAAGCCGGUUGGCCCAAAGGAAGCCUGUCAGUGGGCGGCCAGAAGGCGAGGAGACAAAUCACUGACUACGCCUGGAGCAUAUCGCCGGUUGACUCGCUUUGGACGGGGAGUUCAACUCUCCCCCGUCUCCACCC
This 355-nucleotide transfer-messenger RNA is filed under the name Chloroflexota (GNS bacteria). RNAcentral's name for it is "SHYK01 sp009692845 Standard tmRNA". It matches the Rfam family "transfer-messenger RNA". From Rfam's summary of the family: Bacterial tmRNA, also known as 10Sa RNA or SsrA, is named for its dual tRNA and mRNA-like properties. Its role is to liberate the mRNA from a stalled ribosome. To accomplish this part of the tmRNA is used as a reading frame that ends in a translation stop signal. The record is from RNAcentral. Lineage: Bacteria; Bacillati. RNAcentral also lists the same sequence under 1 other name.